This 456-nucleotide ribosomal RNA is filed under the name uncultured bacterium. RNAcentral's name for it is "bacterial SSU rRNA". It matches the Rfam family "Bacterial small subunit ribosomal RNA", at positions 394 to 850 of the family's 1533-position model. The record is from RNAcentral.
ACGCCGCGUGGAGGAUGAAGGCCUUGGGUUGUAAACUCCUGUCGGCUGGGAAGAAAUCGUGCGGUGCUCAUACCACCGUACGUUGACUGUACCAGCAAAGGAAGCCCCGGCUAACUCUGUGCCAGCAGCCGCGGUAAUACAGAGGGGGCUAGCGUUAUUCGGAAUUAUUGGGCGUAAAGGGCGCGUAGGCGGCCAUGCGUGUCUUCCGUGAAAUCCCUCGGCUUAACUGAGGACGUGCGGAAGAAACUGCAAGGCUCGAGUCCGGGAGAGGGGGGUGGAAUUCCCAGUGUAGCGGUGAAAUGCGUAGAUAUUGGGAGGAACACCGGUGGCGAAGCGGCCCCCUGGACGGUACUGACGCUGAGGCGCGAAACGUGGGUACAAACGGGAUUAGAUACCCGGUAGUCCCGCCGUAACGAUGGCACUUGGUGUCGCGGGUAUCGACCCUGCGGUGCCGAA